Molecule: ribosomal RNA, 732 nt
Filed under: uncultured bacterium
Lineage: Bacteria
Description: bacterial SSU rRNA
Rfam family: Bacterial small subunit ribosomal RNA
Source: RNAcentral
AGUCGACGAGAAGCCGCCUUCGGGUGGUGGAGAGUGGCGCACGGGUGAGUAACGCGUGGGAAUUUGCCUUUCGGUACGGGAUAACGCCUGGAAACGACUGCUAAUACCGCAUAAUGUCUACGGACCAGAGGGGGGGCUCUUCGGACCUCUUGCCUAAAGAUUAGCCCAAGUGAGAUUAGCUAGUUGGUGGGGUAAAGGCCUACCAAGGCGACGAUCUCUAGCUGGUUUGAGAGGAUGAUCAGCCACACUGGGACUGAGACACGGCCCAGACUCCUACGGGAGGCAGCAGUGGGGAAUAUUGCACAAUGGGGGGAACCCUGAUGCAGCCAUGCCGCGUGUGUGAAGAAGGCCUUCGGGUUGUAAAGCACUUUCAGUUGUGAGGAAAGGGAUGUAGUUAAUACCUGCAUUCUGUGACGUUAGCAACAGAAGAAGCACCGGCUAACUCCGUGCCAGCAGCCGCGGUAAUACGGAGGGUGCGAGCGUUAAUCGGAAUUACUGGGCGUAAAGCGUGCGUAGGCGGUUAUAUAAGCUAGAUGUGAAAGCCCGGGGCUUAACCUCGGAACUGCAUUUAGAACUGUAUGACUAGAGUUUUGUAGAGGGUGGUGGAAUUUCCAGUGUAGCGGUGAAAUGCGUAGAGAUUGGAAGGAACAUCAGUGGCGAAGGCGGCCACCUGGACAAAACUGACGCUGAGGCACGAAAGCGUGGGUAGCAAACAGGAUUAGAUACCCGGUA